GACGAACGCUGGCGGCGUGCUUAACACAUGCAAGUCGAGCGGUAAGGCCCUUUCGGGGGUACACGAGCGGCGAACGGGUGAGUAACACGUGGGUGACCUGCCCUUAGCUCUGGGAUAAGCCUGGGAAACUGGGUCUAAUACCGGAUAUGACCUCAUGACGCAUGUUGUGGGGUGGAAAGCCUUGUGCGGCUAGGGAUGGGCCCGCGGCCUAUCAGCUUGUUGGUGGGGUGAUGGCCUACCAAGGCGACGAUCCGUAGCUGGUCUGAGAGGACGAUCAGCCACACUGGGACUGAGACACGGCCCAGACUCCUACGGGAGGCAGCAGUGGGGAAUCUUGCGCAAUGGGCGAAAGCCUGACGCAGCGACGCCGCGUGAGGGAAGAAGGCCU
This 388-nucleotide ribosomal RNA is filed under the name uncultured bacterium. RNAcentral describes it as "bacterial SSU rRNA". It matches the Rfam family "Bacterial small subunit ribosomal RNA", at positions 28 to 417 of the family's 1533-position model. The record is from RNAcentral.